AUUGAACGCUGGCGGCAUGCCUUACACAUGCAAGUCGAACGGCAGCACGGGAGCAAUCCUGGUGGCGAGUGGCGAACGGGUGAGUAAUAUAUCGGAACGUGCCCAGUAGUGGGGGGAUAGCCCGGCGAAAGCCGGAUUAAUACCGCAUACGACCUGUGGGUGAAAGCGGGGGAUCGCAAGACCUCGCGCUAUUGGAGCGGCUGAUAUCAGAUUAGCUAGUUGGUGGGGUAAAGGCCUACCAAGGCGACGAUCUGUAGCUGGUCUGAGAGGACGACCAGCCACACUGGGACUGAGACACGGCCCAGACUCCUACGGGAGGCAGCAGUGGGGAAUUUUGGACAAUGGGCGCAAGCCUGAUCCAGCCAUGCCGCGUGUGGGAAGAAGGCCUUGGGUUGUAACCACUUUGUCAGGAGAAACGGCCUUUUCUAAUACAGGGGCUAAUGACGGUACCUGAAGAAUAAGACACCGGCUAACUACGUGCCAGCAGCCGCGGUAAU
Molecule: ribosomal RNA, 497 nt
Filed under: uncultured bacterium
Lineage: Bacteria
Description: bacterial SSU rRNA
Rfam family: Bacterial small subunit ribosomal RNA
Source: RNAcentral